CACAAGCAGCGGAGCGUGUGGUUAAUUCGAUGUUACACGAAGAACCUUACAGGGUUUGACAUGCAAGUGGUAGGAAGCCGAAAGGUGACCGACCCUUCGGGGAGCUUGCACAGGUGCUGCAUGGCUGUCGUCAGCUCGUGUCGUGAGAUGUUCGGUUAAGUCCGCUAACGAGCGCAACCCUCGCUGUGUGUUAUAUGUGUCACACGGGACUGCCGGUCUUAAGCCGGAGGAAGGUGGGGAUGAUGUCAAGUCAGCAUGGCCUUUAUAUCCUGGGCUACACACACGCUACAAUGGCCAACACAAUAGGUUGCUAAGCCGCGAGGUGGCGCCAAUCCAUAAAGUUGGUCUCAGUUCAGAUUGUAGGCUGCAACCCGCCUGCAUGAAGAUGGAGUUGCUAGUAACCGCAGGUCAGCUAUACUGCGGUGAAUACGUUCCCGGGGCUU
RNAcentral lists this ribosomal RNA (443 nucleotides) under uncultured Leptolinea sp. Its description in RNAcentral is "bacterial SSU rRNA". It matches the Rfam family "Bacterial small subunit ribosomal RNA", at positions 924 to 1382 of the family's 1533-position model. Lineage: Bacteria; Bacillati; Chloroflexota; Anaerolineae; Anaerolineales; Anaerolineaceae. The record is from RNAcentral.